RNAcentral lists this ribosomal RNA (439 nucleotides) under uncultured bacterium. RNAcentral describes it as "partial 16S ribosomal RNA". It matches the Rfam family "Bacterial small subunit ribosomal RNA", at positions 338 to 795 of the family's 1533-position model. The record is from RNAcentral.
CCUACGGGUGGCAGCAGUAGGGAAUAUUGCUCAAUGGGGGAAACCCUGAAGCAGCAACGCCGCGUGGAGGAUGAAGGUUUUAGGAUUGUAAACUCCUUUUGUUAGAGAAGAUUAUGACGGUAUCUAUCAAUAAACAACGGCCAACUCCGUGCCAGCAGCCGCUGUAAUCAGGAGGGUGGCAGCGUUACUCGGGAUCAAUGGGCGUAAAGAGGGCGUAGGCGGGGUAAAAAGUCAGGUGUGAAAUCCUGUAGCUUAACUACAGAACUGCAGUUGAAACUGUUUCUCUGGAGUGUGGGAGAGGUAGGUGGAAUUCUUGGUGUAGGGGUAAAAUCCGUAGAGAUCAAGAGGAAUACUCAUUGCGAAGGCGGCCUGCUGGAACAUUACUGACGCUGAUGCACGAAAGCGUGGGGAGCAAACAGGAUUAGAUACCCCGGUAGUC